RNAcentral lists this ribosomal RNA (360 nucleotides) under Triticum aestivum (bread wheat). RNAcentral describes it as "partial small subunit ribosomal RNA". The record is from RNAcentral. Lineage: Eukaryota; Viridiplantae; Streptophyta; Magnoliopsida; Poales; Poaceae.
AUGGCCAAGUAUUUCUGGAGUAGUUCUCUUAACAAAAGAUCAAUGCAUUGGGUGUCUUGGAAGGAGCUUGCAACGCCCAAGUGCAAAGGCGGUAUGGGUUUCAGAGACCCACAUAUGUUCAAUCUUGCCAUGUUGGGGAAGCACGGAUGGCGUUUUCUAACGAACCCUGAUUCCCUUUGUGCAAGAGUAUUGAAGGGACGGUACUUUCCUGAUACGGAUUUUAUGCAUGCUGCCUUACCCAAGUCGGCUUCGACCACUUGGAAAGCUAUUAUAGCAGGAAGAGAAGCCCUUCGGACCGGCUUGAUCUCCCGUGUUGGAGAUGGCGCUACUAUUGAUGUAUGGGAUGAUAGAUGGAUCCCA